GUGAAAACCACAAACAGCAAGGAAAGCCUUGGUGCGUGUCGACCUUGGGUGGCGGCCCGUUCGUUAAACGAACGCCAUUCAGGGGGAGCACUCGUGGAUUGUUCCCAAACGAUGACCUCCCUAGUGUCCCUUGGAGUGUUCACACCAAUUAAUUAGAAAAUUGACAACUUGCAACAUAAGUGUGAAACCACAAGUGAAGUAAUUAAUGAGCGCUUCCCUGGGUGGCCGCCAUUCGUACAGACUAACACUGGCCAGGGGGAGCGUUCUUGUCCCAAAAGGAGACUCUUCCCUUGCCUGGUUUCACCCAGGGACUCUGCGAACAGAGAUGGUUCGGAACGGUUACUGUUCUGGGGAUCCCUGAGACUGCUGGGGACACUCUUUUGGGAACAAUGGCAGUUUUGAGCACAGAGGACCCUGGGAAGAAGACCCCCUACCAUGGGAAGGGGGAACUCCUGUAUUUGGUUGGUGGGAACUGGGGACGUAGGACUUGGAGUUCCUGUCACCCAAAGACCCCUGGGAGGGGACACUGAGUGGCGGGGACAGGGGAAAAAGGGACUUGGGUUCUGGUUCCACCAGGAGGCCUCUGGGAGGGGACAUUGUCAUUGUGUAUGAUCCGCCCAUUGCACGGGGAAAGUAUAAAGCAGAGUGUGGCCAAAAAAAGGUCGUUGCACCCCUGGAACUGUGUUGUCCGGUUAUUGGGGAAAAUGGGUCUCUUUAUCUAUUAAUAGCAGGGGUAACCGGCAGGGUUAGCCAG
Non-coding RNA from Pelobates cultripes (western spadefoot toad), 754 nucleotides. The record is from the annotation of a GenBank genome assembly. NCBI's taxonomy places the organism in Eukaryota, Metazoa, Chordata, Amphibia, Anura, Pelobatidae.